GACUCAGGAUAAGUAUAUCCCACAGAACGUUUGGGAUAUACUUAUACUAACA
Molecule: microRNA precursor, 52 nt
Filed under: Marmota monax (woodchuck)
Lineage: Eukaryota; Metazoa; Chordata; Mammalia; Rodentia; Sciuridae
Source: RNAcentral